GAGACCCACGCCAACAGUUGCCAGCAUGUCCUCCGGGAUGGUGGGGACACUGUUGGGACCGCCUCUGCUAAAGAGGAGGAAGGAAUGGGCAACGGUAGGUCAGCAUGCCCCGAAUUAUCCGGGCUACACGCGGGCUACAAUGGUCAGGACAAUGGGUAUCGACACCGAGAGGUGAAGGCAAUCUCUUAAACCUGUCCUUAGUUCGGAUUGUGGGCUGCAACUCGCCCACAUGAAGCUGGAAUCCGUGGUAAUCGCGUCUCAAAAUGGCGCGGUGAAUAU
This 279-nucleotide ribosomal RNA is filed under the name uncultured archaeon. RNAcentral describes it as "partial 16S rRNA". It matches the Rfam family "Archaeal small subunit ribosomal RNA", at positions 1047 to 1325 of the family's 1478-position model. The record is from RNAcentral.